UGGGGAAGUCUUGCACAAUGGGGCAACCGGUAGCAUGCAGCGACGCCGCGUGAGUGAUGAAGCCCUUCGGGUGUGAAGCAUCUUUCGACAGGGACGAUAAUGACGGUACCUGGAGAAGCAGCUGCGGCUAACUACGUGCCAGCAGCCGCGGUAAUACGUAGGCAGCAAGCGUUGUUCGGAGUUACUGGGCGUAAAGGGUGCGUAGGCGACCGUGUAAGUGUGGUGUGAAAUCUCCCGGCUUAACUGGGAGGGUGCGCUACAGACUGCAUGGCUAGAGUGUGGGAGAGGAAAGUGGAAUUCCUGGUGUAGCGGUGAAAUGCGUAGAUAUCAGGAGGAACACCGGUGGUUGUUAAACGGCUUUCUGGACCAUAACUGACGCUGAUGCACGAAAGCGUGGGUAGCAAACA
Molecule: ribosomal RNA, 407 nt
Filed under: uncultured bacterium
Lineage: Bacteria
Description: bacterial SSU rRNA
Rfam family: Bacterial small subunit ribosomal RNA
Source: RNAcentral